CCGAAAGGGUGUGUAUAGCUUUUGAAUCCUGGCCAGCAACGGUACCUAAAACCUGGGUUCAACUGGGCUAAGGGCCGUUUAGCGCCGGGAGUAACUCUGACUCUCUUAAGGUAGCCAAAUGCCUUGUCGGGUAAGUUCCGACGUGCAUGAAUGGAACAACGAGGGCCCUACUGUCCCCGUCUACUACCCGGCGAACCCACGUAACGUGGACGAACAGUCCACGAACUUCUAUCGGGAAGAGAAGACCCUGUGGAGCUUUACUGCAGCUUGUUGUUGUGAUACGACUAUGAUUGCAGAGUGUAGCUGGGAGCUGUUAUGCACAUACUUUUGGGUAUGUGAUAGGCGAAAGUGUAACACCAGCCUCUCAUAGUUUUAUCGCUAACCGGGAAACCGGGACACCGGCAGGUGGGCAGUUUGGCUGGGGCGGCACCCCCUUGAAAAAAUAUCGAGGGGGCCCAAAGGUCGGCUCAGGUGGGACAGAAAUCCACCGUAGAGGGCAAGGCUAAAAGCCGGCCUGACUGGGUUCUCAAAAGC
Molecule: ribosomal RNA, 534 nt
Filed under: SAR202 cluster bacterium
Lineage: Bacteria; Bacillati; Chloroflexota; Dehalococcoidia
Description: partial 23S ribosomal RNA
Rfam family: Archaeal large subunit ribosomal RNA
Source: RNAcentral